UCCUCUUUGGCAUUGCCUUGAUCAGUGAACAUUUUAUAGCGGCACAUAUUUUAGACAAAUUUUUAUACCCAUCACACAAGAAAAGUUCUCCGAAAAUAUUUGCUAUAUUUUGGAGUCGAGUUUUUAUUUUAUUUUUCCUUUUGUCUACACGCGUGGUGAACAUUCUCCAGCUCCGAUUCCCGUUUAUAUCUCACUAUGUAUGAAGUUGUGCAUGUAUGCAACUUCAUAACUGGUUUGUAUCUCACCAAGCAUCGCUUCUUGCAUCUUUCUUGUAGGCGGCAAUUGCUACACAUGCUGGCGCCGAUCAGCUACAAGUAACAAUUAAGUAGGUAUUAAUAUUCUCAUAGCCAACCAAAGGUGCUAAUCUCCUGAAACAACUCUAGACGAUGCUCUAGUUUUGACGUCGUAUCUCUGCAUCCGUGCUGCAAAGAGUUGGCGAAGAUCAGGAAAUCCCUGAACUACUUCUUCGUGGUGAACUUGCGGAAUCCAACGAAUCGGCAUUCUUACAUGUCCAGAUUUGGGAGAGGGUUCUACGUAGGCUAACUACAAUAAAAUUGACCUGACACAUGAUAAUAAACCGUUGCUGGACAGGUCGAUCAGGAGAACAUCUUAAGAUGGGAAAGACAAAACCAAAAUAGUAAAAUCAAUCCACAUGCUGGUAGUAUGAGAAAUAUAGUGUGAGCGGAACAGGUGAGUGUUUUGGAAUCAAGAAAAAAACCAUGCCGCAAUCGUUGGCCAAGAUACAAGAUGAAAUCAAGCUAUGGAACAUGUGGACAAAAAAAACAUCAUGAGAUUAUUGGCCUAAGACUCAUUUAUUGAUUAGUGAUUUUUUUUCUUC
Molecule: non-coding RNA, 838 nt
Organism: Oryza sativa Japonica Group (Japanese rice)
Lineage: Eukaryota; Viridiplantae; Streptophyta; Magnoliopsida; Poales; Poaceae
Source: RefSeq, a predicted model, not a curated record